GAUGAACGCUGGCGGCGUGCCUAAUACAUGCAAGUCGAGCGAACAGACGAGGAGCUUGCUCCUCUGACGUUAGCGGCGGACGGGUGAGUAACACGUGGAUAACCUCCUUAUAAGACUGGGAUAACUUCGGGAAACCGGAGCUAAUACCAUAUAAUAUAUUGAACCGCAUGGUUCAAUAGUGAAAGACGGUUUUGCUGUCACUUAUAGAUGGUUCCGCGCCGCUUUAGCUAGUUGGUAAGGUAACGGCUUAGCAAGGCAACGAUGCGUAGCCGAAGUGGGAGACGGAUAGGCCGCAUGGGAAGUGGAACGGGGUCAAGAGUCCUGAGGGAGGGAGCAGUAGGGAAUCGGACGCAGUGGGCGAAAGCCUUGCGGAGCAGCGGCGCGUGAGAGAUGAAGAUGUUCGGAUCGUGAAACUCUGUUAUGAGGGGAGAACAAAUGUGUAAGUAACUAUGCACGUAGUGACGGUACCGAAUCAGAAAGCCACGGCUAACUACGUG
RNAcentral lists this ribosomal RNA (497 nucleotides) under uncultured bacterium. RNAcentral describes it as "partial 16S ribosomal RNA". It matches the Rfam family "Bacterial small subunit ribosomal RNA", at positions 28 to 507 of the family's 1533-position model. The record is from RNAcentral.